RNAcentral lists this unclassified non-coding RNA (244 nucleotides) under plant metagenome. RNAcentral describes it as "partial contains small subunit ribosomal RNA, internal transcribed spacer 1, and 5.8S ribosomal RNA". The record is from RNAcentral.
UCUCCGUUGGUGAACCAGCGGAGGGAUCAUUACCGAGUUUACAACUCCCAAACCCAAUGUGAACCGUACCAGACUGUUGCCUCGGCGGGGUCACGCCCCGGGUGCGUCGCAGCCCCGGAACCAGGCGCCCGCCGGAGGGACCAACCAAACUCUUUCUGUAGUCCCCUCGCGGACGUUAUUUUUACAGCUCUGAGCAAAAAUUCAAAAUGAAUCAAAACUUUCAACAACGGAUCUCUUGGUUCUG